UAGAUAGGCGUGGGCGAUCCUUUCAGCCUCGAAGUGGCCCAUACUCUUUCUUCAUGUAUGAGCGGCAUACGCACAGCCGGAGAUCUGGUUCUGCGGAUGC
Firmicutes bacterium ML8_F2 is the source of this 100-nucleotide non-coding RNA. The record is from Rfam. Lineage: Bacteria; Bacillati; Bacillota.